This 465-nucleotide ribosomal RNA is filed under the name Vreelandella stevensii. RNAcentral's name for it is "partial 16S ribosomal RNA". It matches the Rfam family "Bacterial small subunit ribosomal RNA", at positions 338 to 795 of the family's 1533-position model. Lineage: Bacteria; Pseudomonadati; Pseudomonadota; Gammaproteobacteria; Oceanospirillales; Halomonadaceae. The record is from RNAcentral.
CCUACGGGAGGCAGCAGUGGGGAAUAUUGGACAAAGGGGGGAACCCUGAUCCAGCCACGCCGCGUGUGUGAAGAAGGCCCUCGGGUUGUAAAGCACUUUCAGUGAGGAAGAACGCCUGGUGGUUAAUACCCAUCAGGAAAGACAUCACUCACAGAAGAAGCACCGGCUAACUCCGUGCCAGCAGCCGCGGUAAUACGGAGGGUGCGAGCGUUAAUCGGAAUUACUGGGCGUAAAGCGCGCGUAGGUGGCUUGAUAAGCCGGUUGUGAAAGCCCCGGGCUCAACCUGGGAACGGCAUCCGGAACUGUCAAGCUAGAGUGCAGGAGAGGAAGGUAGAAUUCCCGGUGUAGCGGUGAAAUGCGUAGAGAUCGGGAGGAAUACCAGUGGCGAAGGCGGCCUUCUGGACUGACACUGACACUGAGGUGCGAAAGCGUGGGUAGCAAACAGGAUUAGAUACCCGUGUAGUC